CGUUCGAUGCUCUGAUUGGUC
RNAcentral lists this microRNA (21 nucleotides) under Spodoptera frugiperda (fall armyworm). RNAcentral's name for it is "sfr-miR-10492b-5p". The record is from miRBase by way of RNAcentral. Lineage: Eukaryota; Metazoa; Arthropoda; Insecta; Lepidoptera; Noctuidae.